Molecule: ribosomal RNA, 301 nt
Filed under: uncultured bacterium
Lineage: Bacteria
Description: partial 16S ribosomal RNA
Rfam family: Bacterial small subunit ribosomal RNA
Source: RNAcentral
CAGCCGCCGCGGUAAUACGUAGGUCCCGAGCGUUGUCCGGAUUUAUUGGGCGUAAAGGGAGCGCAGGCGGUUUAGUAGUCUGAAGUUAAAGGCAUUGGCUCAACCAAUGUAUGCUUUGGAAACUGUUAGACUUGAGUGCAGAAGGGGAGAGUGGAAUUCCAUGUGUAGCGGUGAAAUGCGUGGAUAUAUGGAGGAACACCGGUGGCGAAAGCGGCUCUCUGGUCUGUCACUGACGCUGAGGCUCGAAAGCGUGGGUAGCGAACAGGAUUAGAUACCCCCGUAGUCCCUGUCUCUUAUACAU